AUGAACGCUGGCGGCGUGCCUAAUACAUGCAAGUCGAGCGGCAGCACGGUCUUCGGACUGGUGGCGAGCGGCGGACGGCUGAGUAACGCGUAGGAACAUACCCCAAACUGAGGGAUAAGCACCAGAAAUGGUGUCUAAUACCGCAUGUGAUCUUCGGAUUAAAGCUUCGGCGGUUUGGGAAUGGCCUGCGUAUGAUUAGCUUGUUGGUGAGGUAAUGGCUUACCAAGGCGACGAUCAUUAGCUGGUCUGAGAGGAUGAUCAGCCAGACUGGGACUGAGACACGGCCCAGACUCCUACGGGAGGCAGCAGUAGGGAAUUUUCCACAAUGGGCGAAAGCCUGAUGGAGCAACGCCGCGUGCAGGAUGAAGGCCUUCGGGUCGUAAACUGCUUUUCUGACUGACGAUUAUGACGGUAGGUCAGGAAUAAGGAUCGGCUAACUACGU
This 443-nucleotide ribosomal RNA is filed under the name uncultured bacterium. RNAcentral describes it as "bacterial SSU rRNA". It matches the Rfam family "Bacterial small subunit ribosomal RNA", at positions 29 to 506 of the family's 1533-position model. The record is from RNAcentral.